ACUAACCUAGACACAGGAUAAUGAUUUUUCAUUUUGGUCCCUGAAAUUAGCGAGUUGUACUGAAUUAGUCUUUGAGAUUUCAAUUGCACUAAAUUAGUUCCUCAGAUUUAAAAAAAUGUACCACGUUAAUUCUUCUUCCAAUUUCUGUCACUGGAGCACUGACGCCGUCAGUGACGUAGCCAGUUCUUGCCACUCUGGACAGAAUGAGACGAGGUCGUUUCUAAUUUGGCGCUAAACACCCCUUUGAACAACGUCGUUUGUAUGUGAUAAGAAAUAAAAUGUUAGGUACCCUUUUUUUGUUUCUACUCUUCGUCUUCUACUUCUCCAUCAGUGCAGAGAAAAAAAGGUUUCUCUUCCAUGAGUCACCCAAAGUAGCAACAGGUGGCUGCAAUAGAAUUUUUCGAGACCAUUGGAACACGACGUUUGCUGUGCAGUUGUCGGAAGAGUACGUUUGUCACUACAGGGAUCUUCUGUGUUAUCACUGAGGGUUUCUUUUUAUGCUCUGUCCCAAUGGUGGAAGAAUCAACACCCAUCAAAGACAAUAAGCCCGCUACCCUGGCUGAUAACACUUCACCACCCAACAUCACAGAACUAACAAAUCCUAAUGAAGCUGUCUACGACAAAGAGAGACCAAGAGUUACAUGGCCAAACCAAUUGAAUGCCCCACUUGAGGUUGUUGAUCCUUAGAUUGCUGAUAUAAUUAAGCUCGAAAAAGCUAGGCAAUGGAAGGUACAUUGAUAUGGCAGAAAGACUAUGUCAGAAGCGUGCCCUCGAGGCAUUUAGGUUGGAUCCAGCUAAAUGGGGAGUGAACGUUCAGCCUCUAUCUGGGUCUCCUUCAAAUUUUCAAGUUUAUACUGCAUUGCUAAAACCUCAUGACAGAAUCAUGGCACUUGAUCUUCCUCAUGGUAGACAUCUUUCUUAUGGAUACCAGGAUUAACCUCUAUUGUGGACCACCGGAGAACAGGGCGGCAGCCACACCCAUACCACUCUAGAAUACUCGAUGCUCUACUAGUUCCUCUGGAGAUCCUUCUGUUUGACCGCAGGAAACUCUGACUCCCACUUGCACUCAUGAUCCUAAACCCAAAAAGCUGCACAGUGAGGAAGAAGACGAAAAACCAGGAAAAGUGGGUAGAAGAAGAAGAGGAAGAAGUUAGGGCAGAAAUCUUGGUUAUAAAAGGAGACAAUGACUAAAUUGGAGCUAAUCAAAUUUAUUGCCAUGUCAUCUAACCAUUGCUGGGUCCAGUGUGGCAAGAACUGGCCACAUCACUGAUGGCGUCAGUGCUCCGGUGACGGAAAUUGGAAGAAGGACUAACGUGGUGCAUUUUUUCAAAUCUGGUGGAUUAAUUUAGUGCAAUUGGAAUCUUGAUGACUAAUUCAGUGCAACUCGCCAAUCUUAAGGACCAAAGUGGGACUUAACUCUGCAGGUGUGAAAACUAGGGGUGUGCAUGGCCCGGUCCGGCCCGAAGACCCGGCCCGGUCCCGAACACUUUAGGGACUAAUUUGAUGUGAUUU
Arachis ipaensis is the source of this 1512-nucleotide non-coding RNA. The record is from RefSeq and is a predicted model, not a curated record. NCBI's taxonomy places the organism in Eukaryota, Viridiplantae, Streptophyta, Magnoliopsida, Fabales, Fabaceae.